This 472-nucleotide ribosomal RNA is filed under the name uncultured bacterium. RNAcentral describes it as "bacterial SSU rRNA". It matches the Rfam family "Bacterial small subunit ribosomal RNA", at positions 34 to 507 of the family's 1533-position model. The record is from RNAcentral.
CGCUGGCGGCGUGCUUAACACAUGCAAGUCGAACGAGAAUCUGCGGAAAGAGGAUUCGUCCAAUUGAAGCAGAGGACAGUGGCGGACGGGUGAGUAACGCGUGAGGAACCUGCCUUUCAGAGGGGGACAACAGUUGGAAACGACUGCUAAUACCGCAUGACACAUCGGAGUCGCAUGGCUCUGAUGUCAAAGAUUUAUCGCUGAAAGAUGGCCUCGCGUCUGAUUAGCUAGUUGGUGAGGUAAUGGCCCACCAAGGCGACGAUCGGUAGCCGGACUGAGAGGUUGAACGGCCACAUUGGGACUGAGACACGGCCCAGACUCCUACGGGAGGCAGCAGUGGGGAAUAUUGCACAAUGGGGGAAACCCUGAUGCAGCGACGCCGCGUGGAGGAAGAAGGUCUUCGGAUUGUAAACUCCUGUUGUUGGGGAAGAUAAUGACGGUACCCAACAAGGAAGUGACGGCUAACUACGUG